AGCAGGUGAAUCAGAUCACCACGAAGAUGUCCCAUUCUGGGGCAGGCUCUCCAGCUCCCACAGAGCAGCUCAGGGGAUGUGGGAGCAGCUCUAGGAUGUGCUGAGGUUUUGUACAGGUUUUGGGGGAUAUAUAAAAGAUGUAGCCUCAUAUGGCUGGCUGGUGUGGCUUAGAGUGGAGAGAGGUGGAAAAUAGAAAGUGCAUUUGGCACACAGAUGCCAGCUUCCUGUGAUGGUCUACAAAGAGGGAUGGAGGCGGCGAAGUUACAAGAGACUGCCAGGAGACCAAGAGGAAGGAGACCUGCGUUUCAGGCUGAGCCUUGUGAGUCACCCACACUCUUGGCCCCAGUCACCUGCUCUGUGAAAAAGGCUUCAACCACCCACCACCUCUGGUGGGCCUGCUCUGCCCAGCACCUCCAACACCAUGUUCGAAGUCCAGCCUUCAUCUCAUGCGGAGUUUCUGAAGUCAGCUCUCGGCAGAGCACUCCUCAUCAGCCACCCAGCCUGUUUUCUGCUGCCUCAGGCUAGAAAGCCUGGUACCAUCUCAGCUGCUUGGCCUCUGAGCCGGCACUAGGAACAGCUGGGCUGUUGGUGAAGCUGCAUCUCAGAUGCAAUCCCACAGCUCUGCCCAUGCCUCGGCCUCAUGGAAGGCCUGCCUCCUCCAUUCCCCCAUCCUCCAGAACACCCCCUCCUCUCCACUCAAACUCCUGCUUCCAUCUAGCUCCCCCUCAUGCCCUUAGUCCCAAGUUUCAUCUCCUUGGUGUGACAUCCAGAGCCUUUUCUAAUGUGUCCCCCAUCCCACCCCGGUCCCCAGCCAACUUCUCCAGCCUUGCCCAUCACCCUCUGUUGCCUACCCUCUGUGCUCUGUGUCCUCCCCUACCCUGGAGGGCUUCACUCAGGUGACGCUGGGUGAUGGUGCUGCACAUAGGCCCUAGAAUGAAGCUGCCUGGGUUUAAACCCUCUGGGCAAGGCAUUUAACCACACCUUGCCUACUUUCUCCAUCCGUAAAAUGGGGACAGUAAUAAAAUUUCCUUCAUAGGAUUGUUUUGGUCAAUAAAUGCAACAAGGUCUUGAGAGCAACUCACGUAGAACCUGGAACAUGGUAGGUAGUCAAAAGUGUUCAGUCCCUCCUUCCCCAGAGAUGCUGCCAUCUUUCGAAUGUCCAACAUCAAAUGACAGGCAUCCAAGGUUAGCCAGUUAACACCGGUGUAGACUUACAGCUCCCCUCUCCUUCCCAGACUUCGGCAGGAUAUUGCAUCGUUACAGAUAACAAUAAAUAGCCACGCCAACAAAAAUAAAGAGAAAUAGUUUCAAGAAAGCCACACAGAAACGUAGCACAUGGUUGCAGCUCUGAUUUGGCACAGGAACUGCAGGAGCCGGCGGUUGUGACAGCAGUCAUUUGAUAAUCCCUUUGAGCUGCCCAAUGAGGGGAGUGACGUCAUGAAGGGUGAUUGGAGGAGAAAGUCCAGGGUAAAAACAGCCCCAGUCCAUGUGGAGAUGCCGCACCAAGGCAUCAGCGACCACCCUGCCUCACAGAUUAUCCCGAACUCAAGGGACCCCCUUUGGGGAGAUGGUUUGGUUGAAGUGUGAUGUAUAAUAUAUGGGCUCAGUGGAGGAUCUACUGUGACUCGUGUGGCUUCUGACAGAAUAAAUCCCUACCCUAGCAAACUA
This is a long non-coding RNA of Pongo pygmaeus (Bornean orangutan), 1668 nucleotides long. RefSeq lists it as uncharacterized. The record is from RefSeq and is a predicted model, not a curated record. The transcript has 2 exons. Lineage: Eukaryota; Metazoa; Chordata; Mammalia; Primates; Hominidae.